GGUUAAGCGACUAAGCGUACACGGUGGAUGCCCUGGCAGUCAGAGGCGAUGAAGGACGUGCUAAUCUGCGAAAAGCGUCGGUAAGGUGAUAUGAACCGU
Molecule: ribosomal RNA, 99 nt
Filed under: Klebsiella aerogenes
Lineage: Bacteria; Pseudomonadati; Pseudomonadota; Gammaproteobacteria; Enterobacterales; Enterobacteriaceae
Also listed under: 7 other names
Description: partial 23S ribosomal RNA
Rfam family: Bacterial large subunit ribosomal RNA
Source: RNAcentral